AAUAGAUACCCAGGUAGUCCACGCCGUAAACGGUGGGCACUAGGUGUGGGCGGCAUUCCACGUCGUCCGUGCCGUAGCUAACGCAUUAAGUGCCCCGCCUGGGGAGUACGGCCGCAAGGCUAAAACUCAAAGGAGUUGACGGGGGCCCGCACAAGCGGCGGAGCAUGUGGCUUAAUUCGACGCAACGCGAAGAACCUUACCAAGGCUUGACAUACACCGGAAACAUCCAGAGAUGGGUGCCCCCUUGUGGUCGGUGUACAGGUGGUGCAUGGCUGUCGUCAGCUCGUGUCGUGAGAUGUUGGGUUAAGUCCCGCAACGAGCGCAACCCUUGUCCCGUGUUGCCAGCAGGCCUUUGUGGUGCUGGGGACUCACGGGAGACCGCCGGGGUCAACUCGGGGGAAGGUGGGGACGACGUCAAGUCAUCAUGCCCCUUAUGUCUUGGGCUGCACACGUGCUACAAUGGCCGGUACAAAGAGCUGCGAUGCCGUGAGGCGGAGCGAAUCUCAAAAAGCCGGUCUCAGUUCGGAUUGGGGU
This 534-nucleotide ribosomal RNA is filed under the name uncultured bacterium. RNAcentral describes it as "bacterial SSU rRNA". It matches the Rfam family "Bacterial small subunit ribosomal RNA", at positions 777 to 1304 of the family's 1533-position model. The record is from RNAcentral.